UAUAGAAGACAGCGCGCUAGCGUAUCUAGUCUUCUAUAUAUCUAUAGUCGGCACGUCUGGUAGCAUCUCUGACUGCUGUUGAUCUUGUUUUUGGAGUAAAACACGGUGGAAGCUGAAUUAGUGAGGAUGACUCCUGCUCCUGUCAUCUCUAAGCUCCUCACACAUCUUUACCUGCACAUGAGGAAAAUCACUCCUGUAGAAUGCAGAUGUUCAGAGGGAGGUGAUGCCACAUCUGGUCCAGCUGAUGGAAGGUCUUGAAGUUCUCUGACUGGCCUCGACUGAAGAUGGUCCUCUCACUGGAUUUAAGGUUCAGAUGUUCAGUAACAAACUCCACCAAUGUGCCAACAGGGAAGCUUUAGGUUUAUUAAAUGUUGCUAUGAAGGUAUCGCUGUUUUUCUUUGUGAAUGCAAUGUGCUCCAACUGAAACUUGAAUUAGAACAUAGAAGUAAAUCCUUCCAUCUGAAAGGAUUUAGUUGCAUUGAUAACCUCAUAACAUUCUAAUUUUUAUUCCAGUCUUGGUUGGAAAUAGAAUCUCUGUAUUGAUUCAGGUAAAAACUGAACUUCACAGCAUGUUGAAGCAAAACAACCAGAUGAAAACUGUGAUGGUGUUGGAUUGUCAGACCGUAAUGUUGCAGCUCAAAGCAGCUUUUCUGUCUCAGUUCAUUCUGACAUUCAGCUAUGAAUCAACACAGCAGAUGGUGAUCCAUGCUGUGGAAGUCUCACAUCUCCUGAUUUAAUGGAGCUGCUUUGCACUUUUUACACUGUUUCUUCACCAACACUUUAUUUAAUAAAAGUCCCAUCUAGUUUUUAUGAGGAAUGUGAUGUUUUAAUUUCUCUGUGAAUAACUGCAGUCUAAUGCAACAGCUGGAGUUGUAACAUCUGUCCUGAUAUUGAUCAUGAACCUUCUAACCCUCUGCUGCCUAUUAUCUGAAAACAGGAAUGUUCUGCUCUCAUUACUGAGCACACAGCCUAGUAAGAGGAGCACUUUUCAGAAAUGACUCAUGGGUAUUUAUUUUUUAAACGAAGACAAGAUGAUUGAUUGGUAGCUACAGACACUUGUUUGUAUUUUGUUCCCUUUAGAUAUGAAAGUAGAGUUCAGUUUGUUUCCUGAAGGCCUGUUUUAACAUUCCCUGGAAAUGGACCAAGUGAUGCAACCAAUGUCUGAGUGUGUCGGGGAAGAAGAGGGUCUGAAUUGGAGGUAGGGGGGCUGCAGUUAUUCCCUGAAGGUGUUUCUGUCGCAGCUCUGUGCUGCAGACUGUUCAGUCUAGAGCUGGCUCUCCAUUCACACUGUACAGAGAUCUAGCAUGUCUCUCCAAAUGAUAAAUAAAGAUGUCUUAUUACUAAAACCAUGCCUGGUGCUGGUU
Long non-coding RNA from Amphiprion ocellaris (clown anemonefish), 1364 nucleotides. RefSeq lists it as uncharacterized. The transcript is spliced from 3 exons. The record is from RefSeq and is a predicted model, not a curated record. Lineage: Eukaryota; Metazoa; Chordata; Actinopteri; Pomacentridae.